AAAUCAUUUUUUUUGAUUAAGGCAAGACUGGAUUUAUUUCGGUUUUUACAAAGAUCUGAACUGAAAAACUUAAUGAAGAGGAAGGAUACAAGAUAUUAAUAUCAAAGCCUGGCUAGAGAAAAAGAUAAAGUAAAAUGAAAAUGUUAGCAAGUUUCUACAUCCCUACCUUCAAUUAUAAAAUAUGCGGGCCUGCAUGCAUGUAGAUUAUGAAUCGAAUAUUUGUGAUCCAGUUGACUUUGGUAAUGACGUUUUCUUAAUAGAUACCAAUUCUUCAAAUAACAUCGACAUAUAAUCUGCCAUACACACCAGCACCACCCUUUAUCGACUUCCCCGUCAGACCUGGUGCAGAGUACCCGCAAAACUAUUAUCAAAACAAAAUAUUUUUUAUGCAUCUUGGGAGAAAUGCAACACGUCCGCCCCAAAAGAAGAAACCUUCGAAGACAGCGCAAGAUGUAGCACAUGACGUAAUGGACUCAGUUAAAGGUUUUGGAAUCAAAGUAGGUGAUGGUGUACAUAACCUUCGUACUAAAGUUGGGGAUGGAGUCCAUGAAAUUGGAAGCAAAGUAGGUAGUAAAGUACAACAUGCGUGGCAUAACACAGUCGACUGGUUUAAACACGUUUUUGGUUAGGACUUCGUGAAGCCAGACUUCUUUACUGUUUUCGUAUUAUAUUCCAAUUGAAUUGGAAUUUGUCCCAGAUUAGAUAUAUGUACUGUUGACCUGGACUGGUGCCAUUGUGAAAACGACACGUCACUAAACUGCUUGUUUUGAUGCGUUUUACUGCAGAUUUUUCUUUAAUCAUAAAUGUCUUUUUUAAAUUUCAUUAAAACUC
Trichoplusia ni (cabbage looper) is the source of this 831-nucleotide RNA transcript. RefSeq lists it as uncharacterized. The transcript is spliced from 3 exons. The record is from RefSeq and is a predicted model, not a curated record. Lineage: Eukaryota; Metazoa; Arthropoda; Insecta; Lepidoptera; Noctuidae.